UACGAAGGGGGCUAGCGUUGCUCGGAAUCACUGGGCGUAAAGGGUGCGUAGGCGGGUCUUUAAGUUAGGGGUGAAAUCCUGGAGCUCAACUCCAGAACUGCCUUUGAUACUGAAGAUCUUGAGUUCGGGGGAGGUGAGUGGAACUGCGAGUGUAGAGGUGAAAUUCGUAGAUAUUCGCAAGAACACCAGUGGCGAAGGCGGCUCACUGGUCCGGUUCUGACGCUGAGGCGCGAAAGCGUGGGGAGCAAACAGG
This 253-nucleotide ribosomal RNA is filed under the name uncultured bacterium. RNAcentral describes it as "partial 16S ribosomal RNA". It matches the Rfam family "Bacterial small subunit ribosomal RNA", at positions 524 to 776 of the family's 1533-position model. The record is from RNAcentral.